AUUGAACGCUGGCGGCAGGCCUAACACAUGCAAGUCGAACGGUAACAGGAAGAAGCUUGCUUCUUUGCUGACGAGUGGCGGACGGGUGAGUAAUGUCUGUGAAACUGCCUGAUGGAGGGGGAUAACUACUGGAAACGGUAGCUAAUACCGCAUAACGUCGCAAGACCAAAGAGGGGGACCUUCGGGCCUCUUGCCAUCGGAUGUGCCCAGAUGGGAUUAGCUAGUAGGUGGGGUAACGGCUCACCUAGGCGACGAUCCCUAGCUGGUCUGAGAGGGUGACCAGACACACUGGAACUGAGACACGGUCCAGACUCCUACGGGAGGCAGCAGUGGGGAAUAUUGCACAAUGGGCGCAAGCCUGAUGCAGCCAUGCCGCGUGUAUGAAGAAGGCCUUCGGGUUGUAAAGUACUUUCAGCGGGGAGGAAGGGAGUAAAGUUAAUACCUUUACUCAUUGACGUUACCCGCAGAAGAAGCACCGGCUAACUCCGUG
Molecule: ribosomal RNA, 490 nt
Filed under: uncultured bacterium
Lineage: Bacteria
Description: partial 16S ribosomal RNA
Rfam family: Bacterial small subunit ribosomal RNA
Source: RNAcentral